AUACGGAGGACGCGAGCGUUAUCCGGAUUCAUUGGGUUUAAAGGGUGCGCAGGCGGCCGUGCAAGUCAGCGGUGAAAGCCCGGGGCUCAACCCCGGAAGUGCCGUUGAUACUGCAUGGCUGGAAUGCGGUCGAGGCGGGCGGAACGUGGCGGGUAGCGGGGAAAAGCGUAGAUAUGCCACAGAACGCCGAUAGCGGAGGCAGCUCGCCAGGCCUGCAUUGACGCUCGGGCACGGAAGCGUGGGGAUCGAACAGGAUUAGAUACCCUGGUAGUCCACGCCGUAAACGAUGGGCGCUCGUCGUCGGCGGCAGACAGUCGGCGGCCAAGCGAAAGCGAUAAGCGCCCCACCUGGGGAGUACGGUCGCAAGACUGAAACUCAAAGGAAUUGGCGGGG
This 393-nucleotide ribosomal RNA is filed under the name uncultured bacterium. Its description in RNAcentral is "partial 16S ribosomal RNA". It matches the Rfam family "Bacterial small subunit ribosomal RNA", at positions 523 to 918 of the family's 1533-position model. The record is from RNAcentral.